RNAcentral lists this ribosomal RNA (467 nucleotides) under uncultured bacterium. Its description in RNAcentral is "partial 16S ribosomal RNA". It matches the Rfam family "Bacterial small subunit ribosomal RNA", at positions 28 to 507 of the family's 1533-position model. The record is from RNAcentral.
GACGAACGCUGGCGGCGUGCUUAACACAUGCAAGUCGAACGGAAAGGCCCUGCUUUUGUGGGGUGCUCGAGUGGCGAACGGGUGAGUAACACGUGAGUAACCUGCCCUUGACUUUGGGAUAACUUCAGGAAACUGGGGCUAAUACCGGAUAGGAGCUCCUGCUGCAUGGUGGGGGUUGGAAAGUUUCGGCGGUUGGGGAUGGACUCGCGGCUUAUCAGCUUGUUGGUGGGGUAGUGGCUUACCAAGGAUUGGACGGGUAGCCGGCCUGAGAGGGUGACCGGCCCCAUGGGACUUAGGGAGGGACCAGGAGUCCAACGGGAGCAAGGGGUGGGAAAUUUUCGAAAAGGGGCGGAGGCCGGGAUGAGGAACGCCGGGUGGGGAAUGACGGCUUUCGGGGUGUAAACCGUUUUCACGUGUGAGGAAGCGUGGGUACGGGAAAUGGGUAAAAAGGCACGGCUAACUAAGGG